This 73-nucleotide transfer RNA is filed under the name Felis catus (domestic cat). It matches the Rfam family "tRNA". Rfam says of the family: Transfer RNA (tRNA) molecules are approximately 80 nucleotides in length. The record is from Rfam by way of RNAcentral. Lineage: Eukaryota; Metazoa; Chordata; Mammalia; Carnivora; Felidae.
GCCUGUCUGGCUCCAUUGGUAGAGCAUGUGACUCUUAAUCUUAGAGUGGUGAGUUCAAGCCCCACGCUGGGCG